Long non-coding RNA from Ictalurus punctatus (channel catfish), 16914 nucleotides. The record is from Ensembl. NCBI's taxonomy places the organism in Eukaryota, Metazoa, Chordata, Actinopteri, Siluriformes, Ictaluridae.
GUAAUAUAUAAAUAUGUAAAAUAAAUCAAAAGCAAACAUGUACUGUAAGCUGUGAGUCCAGUUAUUAAUGACCAUUUAAAAUAUCUCAAAUAUUUUUCAAAUCCAUCUGGGAUACUUUAAUUAGUCUGAUUUCAUUAUAACUAUGUGCUAGUAGACCUUGCUGAAAAAAUGAAUGAAUAACAAUAGAAACCAUCACAGAAAUUCUAAUGGUGUCUACUACAAAUACCAUUACAAACCAUCAGCUAACCAUUAAAACCAUUACCAUUAUUGGCCCUUAAUUUCUACUAGUAUCUACUAGACAUGCCACCAAUAGAAGGCAACAAAUUACUAAUAGAGACCCACAGGGAUCAUUACACUUUCCAUUAAAACCAAUACAAUUCCCAUUAAAACCAUUACUAUGAGGGUUUCUGUUGUUUUUUUUUCAGCAGGGGAAAGCUUAAUUAAACAGUGGUGCUGCAGAAGAGAAGAAAAGAGAAGAGAAGAGAAGAGAAGAGAAGAGAAGAGAAGAGAAGAGAAGAGAAGAGAAGAGAAGAGAAGAUGGAACAAAAUGAUUUUUUUUUCUAAGUGUAAAAGGAAAAGAGCCUGUAGGCCUCUCCCUCGAUGCUAAAGCAUUGUUUUCUGCUCGGCUAAGCAGCAUCGAAUUGAUAUGCUAGCAAUGAUGUGCAGUGACAAUUAAAUUGUAACUGACCUGCAUGUAACCAUCAUUAUGCCUUCUAUCUUUACUGCCAUCCCUGUUAUUUAAUCACACAGCAUGUGGGCUUUUUAUUAGGCAGUAACAACAACAAGACCACAUCCGCCUGCCUAUAAACACUUGACUAUGGGUAUCUAUCAGCUCUUCCAUGAAAGAAGAAAAAAAAAAGGCACAUUUUUCCCCCUGAAAAAGCUGCUACAGAUAAGCCGAGGUAGUCACAUAACAUAGCUACACAACUAAAUAGUGAAUAUUUAUGCAGAAUCCAUAUUCUCUAACAUCAGGAUCCACAGACAUUAUGAUUAUAACAAUGGGGAUGUCUUUAUCUGAUACUUAAAAGGUAAAUCAAUGUCUUCCUAGAAUUCAUAUUAGGAUCCAUAUGAAACAACAGAACUGGGGAAAAAAAGACUACCGAAAAACGAAUGAGGUCUUGCUAUGGGUUUUCUCUCUGAUUCACUCUCUGAGUCACACACACACCCUAACAAACAUCACAACCUUUCUCCAAUGACUGCCGCAUAUUCAUUUGCAUAACAAUUUUCGCUUGUGUUUCUGGUUAGAUGGAAUUCACAGCAUGGUGCCUGCAUUGUGAGUGCUGGGUCAUUGCUAUAUAUAUGUGACAGCGAAGGGGGAAAAAAGCAAACCUCUCACUUUCAUCUACAGGAACACAUACUGUAGGUAUAGUACACACCUCAUACAGAGAACAAUGACUUCAAACAGUCCAGCAAUACGUCCAUAUUAAUAUUCAUGCAAGGGAAACAUGUAUUAUUAUUACUACUAGUAGUAUUAGUAGUAGUAGUAGUAGUCGUAGUAUUAGUGGUAGUAAUAGUAGUAGUUGUAGUAGUAAUAGUAGUAGUAGUAUUAGUCGUAGUAGUAGUAGUAGUAUUAGUAGUAGUACUAGUCGUAGUAUUAGUAGUAGUAGUAGUAGUCAUAGUACUGGUAGUAGUAGUAGUAGUAGUAAUAGUAGUCAUAGUUCUGGUAGUAGUAGUAAUAGUAGUAGUAGUAUUAGUCGUAGUACUACUAGUAGUAGUAAUAGUAGUAGUAGUAGUAGUAGUAGUAGUAGUAUUGGUAGUAGAAGUAUUAGUAGUAGUAGUAGUCAUAGUUCUGGUAGUAGUAGUAAUAGUAGUAGUAGUAUUAGUCGUAGUACUAGUAGUAGUAGUAGUAGUAUUGGUAGUAGAAGUAUUAGUAGUAGUAGUAUUAUAUUAGUAGUAGUAGUAUUAGUAGUAGAAUUGUUGUUGUUGUUGUGUGUCUCUGUCGCUCAAGGAUUACACCUGUGCUUUGUGUCUGUUCAUAAGCAUGAAUAGUGUGACAGUUGCAUUAAAUAAGAGGUGCUUACUCUCUCUUGAAUAAUCUUUCACAAAAAGAUUCUCAGGGGAAAAAAGAAAUGGUACAAAGCCAUGGCAGCAUUUGUGUAUAUAUUUAUAUAUAAUAUAUUUAUUUGAGGAAAAUAAAAGCCUGAAAACACACAAUCAAUAACGCCAGAGUCGAAGAUGCAUGUCCCAAAAGACUAACACAAUCAGGAAUUAACCUGUAAAGGCUGGAAAAAGGUAAAAAGCUCUAAAAAAAAAAUCAGAUAUUUGUAGAAUGGAACCUGAGUAGCAUGUGCUGCACAAUUUUAUUCAGGUCAAGGUAUAUGUAAAAGGUUAGUUGUAUUUGCAUGUUUUCUAUUUAUAGAGUGUCAAAAUUGUGUCAAAAUUCAGUCACCUGCCACUUUAAUAGUAACACCUGUACAUCUGCCCAUUCAUGCAUUUUUCAAGUCAGCAAAUGUGUAAUGCAUAAACUCAUGCAGGUACAGGUCAAGAGCUUCAGUUAAUGUGUACAUCAAACAUCAGAAUAGGGACAAAUGUGACCCCAGUAACUUUGACUGUGGCAUUGUUUUUGGCCUGGCUGGGAUGAGUAUUUCUGAAACUGCUGAUCCCCUGGGAUUUUUGGGCACAACAGUCUCUAGAGUUCAAACAGAAUGUUACAAAAUAAAACCCAUCCAGUGAGCGGCAGUUCUGCAGGAGUUCUGCCCUGUGACAAGAGAGGUCAGAGGAGAAUGGUCAGACAGGAUUUAGCUGAUAGGAAGGAUGCGGUCACUCAAAUAACCACUCUUUACAACCAUGGAGAGCUGAAAAGCAUCUCAGAAUGCACAACACUCCUGUCAGCCAAGAACGGGAAUCUGAGGCUACAGUGGGCACAGGCUCACCAAAACUGGACAGACGAAUAUUAGAAAAAAUAUCAUCUGGUCUUGACCUGCAUUAUUUUAUACACUGCUCUGCUGUCACAUGAUUGGCGUAUUUAAUAAUUGUGUGAAUGAAUUGCAGGUGUUCCUGCAAUAUUAUCAUUUUAUCAACAAAAACAUUUACCAAAAUUUUCAGGACCUUAUAGCAGAUUGUUAGCAGCUACAACCGCUUGGGUGAAAAGUAUCAUUUUUUUUAUAAACUCUCUGAUUUGAGUCCUGAGAAUUUAUCUCUCUCAUUUUUUUCCUUCCAUACUCAUUGCUUCUUGUCUUUUCUCUUGCUUUAAUUCUUCUAAUUUUUCUCAAUUGUUCCAUUUCCCUGUCUGUCAAAUAUUCAAAGACAAAUCAUUAUCAGUGUGGAAAAUGAAACAGAAGAAAAGUGUUUCAUUGUAUUUAGCAUAGCUCCUUUUGUCAGGAAUUUCAGACAAGAACUUAGAGUGCGGCUGUAGAAACUAAUGAUCCUACUACUGAAAUACGAUAAACCAUCUUGAGUAAAUGCAAGAACUGUUUAAACAAUUAUACAUAAAAUUAAUAUGCUUAACUCUGAAAUGGAUUUAUGUAUUGGUGAGAUUGAGCAAUCCAAUGAGAACUAUAAUAUUAUUCAUAAAAAGCAGUACUUCCAUAGCCAGGAUUACAUAUUCACAGAGAGAAUGUCUUCCUUGGCUUGUUGGUCAGAAAAUAAGUAUCAGCAUGCAUGGCACUUACAUGACGCUUGUCAGGAAUAUUUUCUGCAAAAGCUAACAAAAAGAAAGAACAAUUCUUGCUCCACCAAAUGUACUAUACUAUACGACUAUUAUAAGUCAAAAAGGCAAAUAUAAAAGUAAUCAAUCAGUGACCAAAUGGUAAUAAUUGAAAAUAGUUAAUGAAAUUGAAAUAGAAUUCAAAUAAUAUGUAUAUUUUUACACUUGAACAAUUCCACAAGAUUAAUUGUUAAUUAAUUGCUAUUACUGUGUGGGCUGACCAGUGGGGUCAUGAGACCAAGACGCAGACUCCACUUUCAUUUUAUGAAUAUCACAGACUCUAUCUUUGUAGCCACAUCAAUACAGAUGUGCUACUAUUUGGAAAUGUUAAUGGGAACAACAUGUAAAUAAAGCGUAUAUGUGUUUUUUAGUCUUUUUUUUCUUACAAGCUGCACUAGCGAAGAAGUUCAGCAAUAAAAUGGUGUAUGAUUCUGAGUGAAACAACAUAAACCAAGAAAUUGAACAUAAAAAUAUGUCAAAACAUUUACUGAAUACAUCUGGUGGUGGUCACUGCUUGGGGUUGCAAAAAAAUGUCCAUUUGUUUUUGUUUGAACAAAAAAUUUGAGAACCACUGUGUGGAGGUGAGCGUGUGGUCGAGCGCCGGUUUGCGAAUAGAGGGCGGAGCCAGUAAAACUAAAUGAUAAUGAUCUACACUUGUGUGCGAUUGCUCUAGCAUGUGUUACAUUACAUUUACAUCUAUUCAUUUAGCAGACGCUUUUAUCCAAAGCAACUUACAAGUGAGGAAAUACACUCAGUUCUGUGUUUCAGUGAGCGGCAGCAAGUAUAAAGUGGGGAGAGAUGAGUGCUUUAGUUGCAAGAAAGGAGCUGGCUGUGCUGAUCAGCUUUCUCUCUCUCUCUCUCUCUCACUCUCUCUCAGCGUCUCUCCCCACUUUAUCCUUGCUGCUCUGCACUGAAACACAAAACACAUGUUAGAGCAAUCCAGCACAACUGUAGAUCCUUACCACUAACUUUUCCCGGCUCUGCCUUCCAUUCAAAAACCAGUGCUCGACCACGCCCCCGCCUCCACACACUGGUCUAGGCCAUUGAAGGGUUGGUCAAAUCUCAGAACGGCAAACUACUCUGUUGCUCUGGAUAAAACAUAAUUUGCUGCAUAGAAAUGCAUUGCACAGCUCUUUCCAGUAUACACUUCAAAUCUUUCAUUGCCACAUAUGCAUGCUAAAAGAGAAAGUACUCAACAGGCAUACAUGUCUUGCAGAGCUCAUUGGUAAGUUGACCUUCUCUUGCAUAGUUAACCUAGCUGUUUAAAGGAAAAAAUAUAUAUAUUUGCUUAGAUAAUGUCGAGGCUAAGUCUCACAAGUGUUUGAAAUUCUGUCCAGCUUUUAAUGGCCACUCAGGAAAAAUACUGAAUAAUAUAUUCAUCAAUACGCUUCGCUUCAUAUGAUUCUACACUAUAAAUGUUAUAUACUCGUUUGCUAAGAUAUCUUCCAUGGCUUUUGGAGGGUGUACAGUAUGAGUAUAUGUGGAUUUUAAAAAUGAUGCUUUGUUCAUGCUCAUCUUUUAGUUAAUGAUACUGAUUGAUACUGAGGAUAUGUCGUGAUGUCAUUUUGUCACGAACUAUCCAAGAUGGCAGCACGUUAAGCAUGUCACAGACAAUUGUUUGACUGUGAAGUGUUCAGUGAUAACUGCGUUGGAAAUGUUAUUAUAGUGUCUUUUAAAAAUCCACUUUAAUGUUUGAAUUCCACAUAUUCGAUCUUGUGUAGCAAACCGUUUGGUUUUGCUGCUGUAAAAGAAAACUCACUUCAACCUUGAGUAUUUUAUUUCACUUUUUCGAGCCUCCAUUUUCCAAUGGUACAGGAAAAUCACUUUACAUGGACUGAACCAGAGAAACAUUUAACAUGGACUGUACUGGAGUCAAACUUUCCCUGGACUGUUCUGGAACAACCCCUCCCUGGCAGGCCUGGGCUGAAUCCCCAGUUCCCUUUGCAGAGUGAUGGGUCUGACCUGCUUCGCUGAACCGCCGCCUCCAUACAAACAGAUUACUUCACUCAUUCCUUCUGAGAAGUCAGUGGUUGUGGUGCUACUCUGCAUACUGACUUUGGUAGACCCAGGCAUAAACGGUUGUUGUCGCUGGGUGAGUAAAUCUGACAAUGUACUUUCCCCUGCUGUACACAUUCUGUCUUCAUUCCGAACUUGUCUUUUAUUGCUAGGUCCAUUUGGCUCAUGUACCUAUGCGAUUGUGUCAGGAUAUGAAUAUUAUAAACUUUUCUUGUUACCCAAGCCUACGGUUCUAUAUGACUGUUUUGUAUUGUCAGGGAAAUCCCUGGUUGAGAAAUCCCUUCUCCUCUGGUACCAACAAUCAUGCCACGGUCACUGAGAUCACAUUUUUCCAACAUUCUGAUGGUUGAUGUGAACAUUAACUGAAGCUGCUGUGCCUUAUCUGCAUGAUAUUAUUCACUUUGCUGCUGUCACACAAUAGUGUGGUAAUUGCAUGAAUGAUUUGGUGUACAGGUGUUCCUAAUAAAGUGCUCUGUUAGUAUAAGUAUAUAAUGUUGCUUUUGUGGAGUGAAAUGUCUUCAGUAAAACAAAUUGUGAAGGAUAUCUGAAGUACAGUAACAUCUUUCAGAAAAGAACAGCAGCAUUUCCCACUCUUUAUUUGCAAAGCCUUUUUGAAUGGAUUUCAUAAGGGUUGCUAUUAUUUGAGGGGGAAAUGAUAAAAAGUUAUCUGCAGUUUAAAAUUUCCUAGGAGCAAUUAUCCAUUCACAAGGCAUCCUGGAGAAAUAAAGGCCCCCUGAUUGGCCCCUUCAUGCAUGACAGCAACAGAACAAUGGUAUGGUAAAGUUCUACACACAGAGGAACACGGCUGAUUCCCCACACAUCCGGCUGGGCAAACUGACACUGACACUGACACUCACAUACACAUGCGCACACACAUUUAGAAAAACUGAGAAAACACUCACUGGAGGCCAGGGUAAUGACAAAAACGAGCUCCUUCUACAAAUACGACAGUUCUUUCUCUUUUACUUGCUCACUUCAAAUUUCCCUGUCCUCCUCUGUGAUCCUGGUCAGGGAGCUUGUUAUAUAUCUAUAGAUCCAUAAUAAGCAGGGAAGAGACUACCUCCCGUGUGUUUUAAUUUGACUUGAAAACCAUCUUCAGUGCUGCCUGGGCUUUUAAUAGUUAUUCACUUACAAAUUAUUGCAGGUCAUUACACAGUCAUUGGGAGGGCAGUAAUGAGAUUGGCUUAAUGGCUUUUGUAGAACAUUGCUGUAAACGAUAGGGAAAAGUUCCCCUCAGUAAGUUUUUAUGAUUAUUCCAUAUGAGCUACGUUUGUUUAAGCCCAUAUUAGUGUAAAAAAAAAAAAAAGAAGAAGGGUAGCAAUCUUCUUAAUCAAAUGUGAUUUAUUAUAGCAUUAGUUCUUUCUGCUCUCCAAAGCAAUCAUCAUAUCAAGAGAGAGCGAAAGCCAGAGAAUGAGAGAGACUGCAAAUCUCAUGGUCCUUCUAGACAAAUAUUGUAUUAAUAUUUGGUCAUGUUAAUUCUGCUUUCAGCCCCUAUUUUCAUCACAAUUUAACUGUGGCCAAUGACAGGAGGCGUAAUCAUCUGAAGAUGUGAAUGAGCUCAUAUUUAUUAGGAGCCGGCACGGACGCUAACCGAGACAGCUAAGCACCCAGUCGUCCUUAUCGCUAUUGAUGUUCAAGGCUGACAAGUAAAUUAAAUUUACCUUUGGAAAUUGUUCUAUUAGUAUUUUUUAUUAGGUUAAUUAAGCAAGCUCUGGGGACUCAUUGAAUUGGUGAGAUAUUAGAUUAAUUCACUGUUCUCUGCAUGCUGGAGGACUGGGACGGUAAUCCCCGUACUGCCAUCCUCCUACAGAGCUUCACAUCGCUGGUGAGCCACACCACUUCAUUAGUUGCUCCUGUAAGAUACACCGUACCAACAAUUACUCCCACACCUCCACACCAGCCUGUUCAUGGGAGUGAAGGAAGGGGGGAUCUGAGGACUUGAUUCACAGUUAGGUUAAAAGUGGCUAAAGGAGUAUAUAGAAUUCAGAUUAAUCCAGCCAUAAUUUCAAGGUCUAAUUGAUAAUAACACCACCCCUUAUUCCUGAGUGAAGUACUUAUGAAGACAAGUCUGGAUAAUACUCUUAGAUGUGUGAUGGGUAUAAUUUAAGUAGAUGAACUAGUAGCCACUCAACCUGUGUGUGUCACCGCUAAAUGCUUUUAGUGCUGAAGGUCUGUGAAGACAUUAGAUUGUCCUGCAGGUGGUCGAAGCAGAUACAGUGGACCAGGGCAACACGGACCUGCCCUCCCAUGAUGGAAGCACUAUUGAUUGAUUUAGAAAAAAUACCCUCUGAUAGAGAAGAUUGCUCAUUGGAGUGGAACGUCAUGUGCCACUGAUGUACCACCUCUCAAUCAGCCGGCACCUGAUCGACCGGGUUGGCUGAAGCAUCUUCGCCUCUCAUCCCACUUAAGGCCAGCUUGUCAAUUGGUCUCUCUAGCCCUUCUUCUUUAGAAAGAAAAAAAUGCCACAGAGCCAGAAUCCUGACUCUGCUGGCUCCUGCAGUGAUGGUUGUGCUUCAUCAGGAACAGCUCUUAUUUAGCUACAGUCAAAAACAAAUCACGCCCCAUUCAAGUGCCAUAGCUGCCUGGUUUGUGCCUGGAGGAAAUCAAAUUUGUAUUUUUAGAAGGAUGAAAACAAACCACCUUGAACGAUUGAACUUAUUUGGCACCCUGAUAAACUCUAAAGAGCUGUGGGAUUGGAAAGUUUGGAUUUCAUCUAGUCCUGAAUAGCAUGAAUAGCCACACACACCAACUCUGUUUGUUCAUUCAGUGUAAUUGCAUGCAUGUGGAGAACUCAGACAAGAGUACAAAGCGAAGAGAGGUGAAGACGAUAUUGCUGAAUUGUUUCACCACUACAUUGGGCCUCUUCAUGUUUGUGCUAAUGAGAGGAAGGGCCACUGGGUGCACACAAACCCUGCCUCAAAACAGACAGCAGGACCCAGUCACUCUGGGUCUUUCACUCGCUACAUGGUGUGCUGAGUUUGUAUUUUUAAUUAAAUCAUUUAAAUGUCCUCAGAGUUGGUUUAGUAAAGCUAGACAACAGUUUAUCCUUGGGGUUUUAAGAAGUGUCACAAGCAAUUUGGUUCUGUAUUUGAAUCUUCAGGGUGAAUCAGACAUUUAUUAAAUUUAAUGUCCACUAGUCUGCUGUUUCAAAUCUUCAUUUCUUGAGGUUUGACUUUCUUUUGCUCCACAAAUUUAGUCUGGCAUUAACCCGUUUAGAAGCCAUUUCUCUGGCCAUUUCUUAAUCUGACCAAUAAGUGUCUUCUAAUGAGAUAAAAAUAACUCAGUUGUUGAUGUCAACUAAAUGCACAAAUACAGGGCAUGAAAAUCAGCAAUGAAGUCAAUAAAAUGAUGCACUAUGUUGACUCGAACAAAAUGCCAGACUCAACAGUAAGGUGAAGAGUCUAAAUAAACAAGGUGAAAGCUCACAGCAUUCAAGAAAAUUUGAUCUGAGCCAGUGUAUAAGCAGUCAAAAGUCAUCCUAUAAAGGAAAGCUUACAUUACUGUGUAUUCCAACACAGUCCUAUUUCUGUACAUAAAGUUUAAGCAGCAAAAAGUUUGCAGAAGUACCUUCUCAGCAAAAAAAGGUCAAUAAGAGAUAAAGAUAUUUUGGCUUUUCCAUAUAAAAAGGAACAAUGUUUUUCUCAGGUUUAGCAAUCUUGAUCAAGAUAAAUACUAAUAAAAAAAAAAGUUGGACCUAUUAGUUAUACCGAGUCUACUCCAAGCUGCACCUUUUCCCAACCUCGCUAGAAACACACAAUGCUUAAUAAUUGAUUCAAAUUGAUUUUAGCCCAGCCCUGACCUGGGUAAAAAGGUUUGGCCAAUAGCAUCCGUGCGUCAGGGAAAUGGGGGGAAAAAAACAGGACAGCACCAACUUUAAAAGCUCAAGACGUGUAGUACAAAUAAAAUAUUUAGGCUGCAGAAGCCUUGACCUCCCUAUGCUAGCCGGCUCCUAACGUGAAUUGAUUUCUGACAACGCAACUGGGACCCAAUUACAACAAAAUGCACUAAAGCUGACCUGUUGCACUUCCCAACAUUUAUGCUAGCUUAACCUCCCAAAGUGACCAAGAAUGGACAGAAUGUGUUCCACACACUCGCUUAUAUUUGACCAGCACUCUCCAUCUAAGAAAUCAUGCCCAAUGUAGACAGAUGCAUUGAGGAAACUCUCAUGUAGCUCAUGUAUCAAGAUAAUGUGCAGGUUUCCUAACCUUUAGCGACAAUUAUAGUAGACCUAAUGAUGUGCAAUGUUGCUUUCCCAUGGUUUGGCCUUGAAACCAAGAGAAGGAUUUCUUGGACAAGAGCUUUGGGCAGGAGAGAAAAAGGACAGCACAGAGUUCCAGAUGCACUAGAGAAAAGCUGAUAAUGACGAUCACGGCUGGCCAGUUGGCUCUGCGUUGAUGUAACAUGGCAGCCUGCACACAGUUAAAACAUGGCGGACUUAGAAAAAAUGGAAAAUAAUAAUAAUAAUACUAAUGAAAAUGUAUAACUGCUCUCAAGUGUGAAAAAUUGGUCUCCACUGCUCUUGUGACCUCAUCAUAACAGGAAGUGGACACAAGAAACACCACACUUUGUUACAGAUUAAAUCUUUAAUAGCACAUAGUGUCGACAACAAAUUAUUUUUGGACUAUAUUUGAACGGGUAGGCCAUUCAAUAAAAUAUAUGAGACUAAAAUAAAUAAACAUUAAAAAAAUGCAUAGAUAACUUAUAAGUGUACAAUAAAUCCUUAGCACGUAGCAUAAACAGAUUGUGGCAUCGUAAUAGUUUUAUUUGAACUCUGAUAUAAAGUACAUCAGAUUCAGCACAAGAGGUGAUGUGCAGUACAGUGUGUUCACUUCAUUCACAUACUAAUAAGAGCAUGUUAAUCCUGAGUGUCUAUCUUUGGCCACUAGAUUUAACCUACUACUACAUUCUGGAGAUUUAAGGAUCACACACACACAUGAACGCAUACACAUACACACAAAUGUGCAUAUACAAAUGCAUGCACAUCUUCAGAGCUCAUUUGUUUAUUGACUGUGGAACUGAUAAGCACAUUCUAUGGAGGAAAUCAAUCCACUUCAGAUGGCUAUCUCAACCUUUUUCUCAAACUGUCCACACACACACACACACACACACACACUGUGACUAAUAAAUCAAGAAAGGUGAGGCUGGGAAAUGAUACACGUACAUACAUCCACACAGACACACCUACACACACUGAAGCCCCAGUGCAGCAUAGGUAUCAUAAGCUCCAUAGUAAUAUAGUAGUGCAUGUACGUGUGUGUAUGUGCUGUGUGUAUCUGAAUGUGUGUGCAGCAAAACCAGGUCAUUAAUCAUAGACUGGCAAUAGAGGCUGCGUGUGUGGUGCCAGGGUCAAACUGGGGCUAUUAAAGGAAGCCCAGGGACUAGAGCCUCUGUUGUGUUAACCCCCCGUUCCCUGCAGGCUCAGGCUGGACUUAGCCCACAGCUGUCCCUUUCCUCUCUCAUGCCAGCUGCAGGAGAGGAGAAAGAAGAGGAGAGAAAAGAAUAGAGGUGCAGAGAAUCAUCUAUACUGCUAAUCAUGGGUAGGCAAAAAAAGAUAAAAAUCGAUGUUGGCACUACAUAAUACUCAAAAUCUGUAGUGCUGGCCCGAUAGCAUAUGUUGUGCACCUAGAACAUGGCUCCUAAAACAUUUUAAUAUGUCACCUGGGUAAAUCUGUUCUACCUGCAUGUCCAUUCCACUCUAUUCUACGCCUUGUCUAAAACCAUGGUAUUGUAUCAAUACGCUGUCCUGAUUGUUAUGUUAUUGCUCCUUCCUGGGUAGCAUCCUGAUUGUUAGAUAGCAAACGUAUGAUGAAUAAUAAAUGACAUUACUCUUUCUUGUGAAAUGUUUUCAACAAUUAUUAAACAUCCAGUGCAAACAGCAUUGAGUUUUGCAACAUCAGUCAAUGCCUUAAUAGGCCUCCAUUUCUUCCCUGAUGUAUCACUUUAAAUUAAUUGUUCACAAGUAGUUGUGGUGUGAGUACCUUCUCUGAAGGCCACCAGAAGCACAUGAUACAACCCAAUCCUGCAUGCUCAGGAUGAAGAAGAGGGGAAGAGAGACAUAAAGAGACGCUUCAGUGCUCUGUAGAUAUGGGCUACAAUUAUGAUCUGCAGCUACAUGCUGUACUGCAACUUCUCUACGUAGCCAAACUUGAGUUCCGGCCCACUGAGGCUUCACAGAAACCUUUCCAGGGGUUCACUCACACAGAGGACCAGAAACGUUCGUCCAAACAGCAAAAUCAAAGUCUUUUUCUGAACUUUUGAAGGCUUUAAUGUUUUGACAUUUUACGAAUGGUGAACUGCAACUCAGAGAAAUAAAAUCUAUCAUUCACAGUAUGCAAUGAUAUUACUCAUUAUAUCAAUAUGGACUAAUGUAGUAUAGUGUAGUAUGGUAUAGAAUAGACUGGUAUAGUGUAGUGUGUAGUAUAGUGUAAUAUAGUGCAGUGUAGGGGUUAGAUAGAAUACAGUAAUACAGUACAGUAUAGUAUAGAAUAGUAUAGUAUGAUAUAGAAUAUAAUAGUAUAGUAUAGUACAGUAUAGUGUGUAGUAUAGCAUAGUAUGAUAUAGUAUAGAAUAGUACAACAUAGAACAGUAUAAUAUAGUUAUGGAAUAGAAUAGAAUAGUAUAGUAUAGUUAUGGUAUAGUAUAGAAUAGUAUAGUGUAGUACAGUAUAGUGUGUAGUAUAACAUAGUAUGAUAUAGUAUAGUAUGGUGUAGUAUAAUAUGGUAUAGUGUAGUGCAGCACAGUACAGUAUACUAUAGUUAUGGUAUAGAAUAGAAUAGUAUAGUAUAGUGUAGUACAGUAUAGUGUAGUAUAGCAUAGUAUGAUAUCAAAUAGAAAAGUACAGCACAGUAUGGUAUAGUAUAGUAUAGUUAUGGUAUAGACUAGAAUAGAAUAGUAAAGUAUACUAUAAUAAAAAAAUUAUAUUAACAGUGUAAGUUAUAGCAAAUAUAUGGAAUAUAUUAGUUACUGGGUGGUGGACAUGGUGUCAUGCUCAGUGGUCAUUGGUAUAACUUUAAUUCCACUAUGAUAGGAUUUCUCUUUAUUCUCUCUAUCCCUCUCUCUGUCUCUCUGCUCUGUGCCAGCACUCCUUCAACUAAUCCCAAACGGCUCAGUGUUGUCCAAUUAAAUUCCAGUUGACAUGCAUUCAGUGCAGGCGCUACUAUCAGUAAUUUAGCCCUCUUUAUAAGCAAUCUAUUUUUUAAUAUAGGGUCUGAAGAAAACAUUGAAGUAUUGAUCUUUAUUUAUUGAUCUCUCACAAAGCAUAGUUAAGGCCAACACAAAUCAAUCAAAAAGAAAUUUAAAAUGAUUAUAGCGCAUAGGAAGACCUGAUGUUGCACUCCAGGCUUAAUUAGUGAAACGGUGUGAGAGAACUCAAAGCAAUAUCACACUGUACUACAUUGCCUCAGCUGUGUUACCCAGCCAGAUUAAGCAUCUUUAUUGUAUUAAAGCUAGCGUUCUGGAGCCAAGGUUAAUGAAUGGCCAACGUCGUUCAGGCCAGCCCAGCUUAAUCCCCAGAAAACCUCUCACAACAAAUGUUAAUGCAGCCUGAUUUUAAUGUCAUCAGCCGGAUUCACCUCCCCACCCCCAACCCCCACACACACUCUGCCAACAAGUCAUAUUUCCCUAAUGCAGAGAGAAGUGUUAUCCUUAUCAGAUAAAUGUAGCAUGAAUGUCUGUGAUAAAACAUCCACAUCCUCUCAUUUACUCAAAUAUCACAGCGUGGACAGAUGCAUGUGUGCCCCAGGUCGUGGCUUAAAAGACGUCAUUAUUACUCAUUCCAGAAACCUAACAAUUUUUUUUUUUCAUUUCAACUUUUUUUCAACUUUUUUCCAAUGUCCGUCCUUAUAAAUGACUUACCUGUUAAUGAAUGUGCAUCAGUCACAGAAUUUAUGUGACGAAACAUUUUCGACUCAAACACAUAUUAAUGAGUUUACAAGUACCUUCUCAUUAUAAUUAUGUAGAGCAACGGCAGCAUCUUAGUGGGCCAGCAAUCCCUGUGGGAUACAUAAAUCUACCAGGCUAGCAAACUCGCCUACUUUUUACAAAACACUUUACAUGCAGACACAAAUAAUGCCAAACAUCCUUCAUUAUUAACAGCCAGUGCCUUAGUGUGCCAUCUGUAGUUUAACCUGAAAGCGUACACCAUUUUUACCCAGAUGCACCAAAUUUCACAUCCCAUACUAAACAGACUAUUAAGACUCUUAAACUCGGAGGAAAACGGAAAAUGGACUCGAAAAAUCCAAAGUUGAUGUUACAAAAAGUUUCGCAGCAGUCCCUAAUUAAGAGACCGCAAGUCUACGGCCAAUUUAGCAACAUCCUAAUGAAUUUUCAUAAGAGGCGUGCUUGACAACCUCUGGAUGAAAGCAUGACACGUGUUAAACAGAAUGCAUGUCCCAGCCCGAAGUUGUCUGUUGUCCGCUGCAGAUGAGAGUGUGGGCAAGGGGGAGAGCACAGCGCUCCCUCCUUCUUUCUGCUUUGGGAGAAUAAUUAAAGGAAGGCCUGUUGUAAUUAGCCAACCUCUCACUGCGUUUGAGCCUGUUUGCAAUGCUGUAAGAGAAAAAAAAAAAAAAAAACACCACAACCUGGUAUGUGACAAAGCCUCUUUCUUUCCUCGCCAUAUGGGAGCGGCUGGUGAGUGUCACACAUCGCAAGGGGUUACAUGGAACACAGUCAAACGUAUGAGCUUAACAACAGGGGGGAAAAAAAACAAAAAAACAACAAAAAAAAAAACAAAGACAAGCCACCUGAUAAUGCCACUCAUGAAGAAAAAAAUAAAUACCAGAGCGAAAUGCUACUGUAUAUUCAGCCACUAUUCUCUACUUUUGUGAGCUUUAAAGGACUUUGGUCUCGGUGAGAUGUAUAACUCGCUUCGGUGUUCCUGACAACACUAAAGCGGUCGAGAUUAACAUAAAAACCUGACCUUCAGUUGGAGAGUAAUCAUCCUUAAAGGGCUCUUAAAGGGAGCUGGAGAAAGAAAGGGAGGAGAAAAGCUGGAGCCUAAAGUGGCAAGCAGAAGUGUUUUAAAAACACAGGACAGAUUCAGAAAAGGCAAGAAGGCAAGUGGUACAAGAGUGCAUACAUGCUGCAAACAUUAAGCAGAAUAAAGGUCGUGCCACAGUGCCGUUUUAUUGAAUGAAAGAUUAUAGCAGAUAGCUGUUCAGAAAAUGUGUGUGUGUGCAUGUGUGUGCCACUGUGAGUGUGUGUCUCUGCUGGCUGAACAGUGGGGUGACUGCUCCCCUGUCUUCUCACCAUCUGCCCGAGAGAGAGUCUUUCCAACCCAGCCCCUCUGUUCCCCUUUUCCACACACCACUCGUCCUGUUUGGGGCUGUAAGUGUGAGGAUGAUGAGGAGGAGGAAGAGGAGGCGGAGGAGGAGGAGGAGGAGGAAGAGAUUCAGCUAACUUUUCUAAACGAAAAUUCAAGGACGAAGUAUGUGAGGUACAUUCAACCGAAAUGAUAUUCAUUGUACAGAGUGCAGUGGUCCUGCAUGUACUUUAAUUGGACUGAAAAAUGCUCCAUUCAGUUAUUUCAGGAAGAUCCAGGCACUACCUGUGCCAACGCGACUAAUGUAUGCUAUGAGCUUGUUUGGAAAGACUUAGCCUUGUCAGAGCUCAGAGCUCCAUUAGACAAAGAGGAGAAGGGCAGGCUAAUUAAAGAGUGACCGUGUGGCCAGACUAGAGCAAAGACUCGUUUACCCUGGCCCUAUGCUCUCUCCAGCUCUCCUCGCUCUGCUAAUAGAAAAAUAAGCUACUUCACUCAGCAUCGCUCGCAGUGACACCUACACUGGAGGGGGUAAUGGUGUUUAAUGGCCUUUUAAAUUUUUAUUCAGCCAGAGAAUCAUAAAAGGGGAGGCAGGCAGCCACUGGAUCUCUUAAUAACCCCAAUGCUAUGGCAACCCGAGACUCGCUCAGGUCUCGGACGUCACGUGGCUCUGCGGUGGUUGGUCGUGGUUUGAACAUAAAAAAGAAAUGGACGGAAAGUUGGACUGGGGACUGAAAAUGGGAUAAAAACAACGGAAAAGGGACAGUGUAAAAUACAAAGGUCACUGCUGACCACUGUAAUGGUCUUUUUUUUUUUUUUUUUUUGGAUAAUCAUAAAUGUUUUAAAGUUUAAGUGCUGCCAUUCGGUAGAAAUCACAGCCAGACAGCAAAAGCGUUUGCGUAACUGUGUGGAGAAUAAAUAAAGCAGAUGAUAAGAGUGCAAGAAUGAAUAGUUGUGAAAGUGCACAUUUUAGUAUAUGUUGCUUUCUCGAGGGAUCCACAAAUCCAGAGCUGACUGGAAGAGAGCUGUACCUCCAACACACUGAUCCAAGACCAACUGCAGACACAGAAAAAUGGGGAGGGGCGAGAGAGAGACAGAAAGAAAGAGAGAGAGAGAGGCGCAGAAAUGAAAGAGAGAAAAGGAGAAAGAGACUUUAACUUUCGCACUUUCAACUUGCAAACUCAGAAGACAGUACAGCAAACAAAACACCAUGCACUCCACUGUGUAUUGCACUGCAUGGCUUUAUUAUGGUGUACUGUUAAAAAAACAUCUUUUCCUUUGAGCUCUGAGCAACCCAUUUCUGAGCUCCGUCCUCAGCAACUUGAGCAAAACUGAAAGUUUUGAAGAAGUUCUGUGAAUAAAACAGCACUCAAGUGUUGUAGACAGAGCCUGCGUCCUGCAGUCGAACGUGUAACUGGCCUCCGUCUUCACCUCACAUUGUGUAAAUGCAGUGUAUCGCUGUUUUAAUGUCAGUGAUAGACAUCAAAACCCUGUUCUUCUCGAAGCCCAUCUGCUUGCUGCAGAUGUCUCAAUCAAGCAAGCAGCUGUAUGGUGUCUGGGCUGUCAGAAAGGGCCGAGGCUACGCUUAUACAUGCUUCUGUUUAGGCACGCAAAACAUGGACACACUCGCCACAUGCUACCUGACCCAGCAUUCUGCAGCCUGUCAAUCAGCCUUCAGUGGUAGCCCAAUUCCUACAGACACACUCUCUUCUCCAACCCCCCCCCCCCCCCCCCACACACACACACACACACACAAAACAAACACACAUACACAUAUACACACACAUACCCAUAACACCCACAUAUUGAACACAACAUUCAUCUAUCAAGGAGAGUAAAGUGUCUACUGUUUUAUCCUGUAUAUCCAAAGGCAAAGCCAGAGGCACAAUUAAAAAAAAGAUACUGCCUUAAAUAAAAACAGUGGCAUGUGUAGCAGUAUGUCAAUUUCCUAGUCCUGAAGAAUAUAAGAAAUAACAGAAUAUAUAUAUAUAUAUAU